GAUGAACGCUAGCUACAGGCUUAACACAUGCAAGUCGAGGGGAAACGAUAUUGGAAGCUUGCUUCUGAUAGGCGUCGACCGGCGCACGGGUGAGUAACGCGUAUCCAACCUGCCCAUCACUUGGGGAUAACCUUGCGAAAGUAAGACUAAUACCCAAUGACGUCUCUAGAAGACAUCUGAAAGAGAUUAAAGAUUUAUCGGUGAUGGAUGGGGAUGCGUCUGAUUAGCUUGUUGGCGGGGUAACGGCCCACCAAGGCGACGAUCAGUAGGGGUUCUGAGAGGGUGAACGGCCACAUUGGGACUGAGACACGGCCCAAACUCCUACGGGAGGCAGCAGUGGGGAAUAUUGCACAAUGGGGGAAACCCUGAUGCAGCGACGCCGCGUGAGUGAUGAAGUAUUUCGGUAUGUAAAACUCUAUCAGCAGGGAAGAUAAUGACGGUACCUGACUAAGAAGCACCGGCUAACUACGUGCCAGCAGCCGCGGU
RNAcentral lists this ribosomal RNA (486 nucleotides) under uncultured bacterium. Its description in RNAcentral is "bacterial SSU rRNA". It matches the Rfam family "Bacterial small subunit ribosomal RNA", at positions 28 to 521 of the family's 1533-position model. The record is from RNAcentral.